GAUGAACGCUGGCGGCGUGCCUAAUACAUGCAAGUCGAGCGAACGGACGAGAAGCUUGCUUUUCUGAUGUUAGCGGCGGACGGGUGAGUAACACGUGGAUAACCUACCUAUAAGACUGGGAUAACUUCGGGAAACCGGAGCUAAUACCGGAUAAUAUUUUGAACCGCAUGGUUCAAAAGUGAAAGACGGUCUUGCUGUCUCUUAUAGAUGGAUCCGCGCGGCAUUAGCUAGUUGGUAAGGUAACGGCUUACCAAGGCAACGAUGCAUAGCCGACCUGAGAGGGUGAUCGGCCACACUGGAACUGAGACACGGUCCAGACUCCUAAGGGAGGCAGCAGUAGGGAAUCUGCCGCAAUGGGCGAAAGCCUGACGGAGCAACGCCGCGUGAGUGAUGAAGGUCUUCGGAUCGUAAAACUCUGUUAUUAGGGAAGAACAUAUGUGUAAGUAACUGUGCACAUCUUGACGGUACCUAAUCAGAAAGCCACGGCUAACUACGUG
RNAcentral lists this ribosomal RNA (497 nucleotides) under uncultured bacterium. RNAcentral describes it as "partial 16S ribosomal RNA". It matches the Rfam family "Bacterial small subunit ribosomal RNA", at positions 28 to 507 of the family's 1533-position model. The record is from RNAcentral.